Molecule: long non-coding RNA, 42438 nt
Filed under: Hordeum vulgare
Lineage: Eukaryota; Viridiplantae; Streptophyta; Magnoliopsida; Poales; Poaceae
Description: long non-coding RNA (HVUL_LNC020590)
Source: RNAcentral
CAUCUCCCUCCCUCUCGUCCACGCCUCCGGUCGUUCCCCUUCUUCCCUCUGCGUGCCACUCACCGGGCGCCAUGACGGAGGAGGCCGAGGGAUGUGUUGCGGUGGCCGAGGCGGCGGGCAUCAUCUGCUCGCUCCGUGCGGCGGACCUGGCCGGGUGGACGCCGCCAUGGAAGACGAGCGGGCAGCCGUCCUCCGAAGCCAUGGCGAAGAAAGAGGAGACGGGCUGGCCGUCGGUGGCGCGGGGGAAGCGGACGCGGUCGUCGCGCUCAGGAUCCGCGGCAAACAAGGGGAGGAGGUGGGCGCGCGGCAGCCCCGCGUCUCCGCUCGACUACAGCGGCGGCUCCGGCUCCGGCUCCGGCGCGUCCACCAGCGGCGGGGAGGACGGCGCCUUCUGCUCGACACCGGCGACGGCCGCCAUCGCCGCCACCCCAGCUUCUUCCUCCUUGGGCAAGGUAGGUACCUAGUCGAGCGCGCGCACGUCCAUGCUUUCCCUUGUUUGUCUCCUUUCUCGUGUGUGGUUGGCCGCCUGCCUGCCUGCGUUUGUGCUUUGCUUUCCGUCGUCGCAGCGCCUGAUUGGACGGACGAAUCUACCCCUGUACCAUGUCAUCAAUGGUAUGGCAGUGAGAGGAUGUGCAACUGCAUCGGGGAUGAAACAUCGUUUUCCUCCCCCCUCACCGCACCACACCCGCCUUUUUGUUGGCAAAAGAUCUUUUCUCGCAUCCCUUUUUAACGAAUGUUUUCUUCGGUCCAACUCCAGAUACCCCGCUUCUUGCUCCACUCAUCCCACUUCGUCUUCGCAUCAAAAAGUCCAAUUCACGGGCGUCCGCUCUGAAUGUCAAUGGCUUCCGAUUUUUUUUUUAAUCUUGCCACGGUCGUGUGAUGGAUGGCUCUGCAUAGCCAUGGCCAUUACGUUGUAUGGUACUAGUACGUUGCGCGUGCUUGACUGCAAUUCACAGCGGUUGGUGACUCCUGACCACGAGCUACCGCUCCUGACUGCACGCCUUUCCCCAAACCACAUUCUUUCGUGAGGGCAGUGCCGUAAUUUCCGCCGGCCCUUAUCCUUGCGUGCAUUUGGAUUUUUCUCCCCGCGCCGCGGUGGCUAGCAGUGGCCCCUGCGGCCGGGCCCCACCCGCCAUGCAGUUGGGACUUUGUUUUUUUUUACUGGACAGUUGGGACUUUGUGACCCACGGUGUCAAACCGGCGCGUCGGCGGGAUCCACGUGGCCGCCGCCGAUUGGCUCGACCUUGCGCCCGGGUCGCGCGCUGCGUAUGGCCGUGCCGCCGGACACGGAGGUAGACACGACGUGUCGUGGCCACAUGCCUCCCGCCACGUGUACCGUCCCGCACGCCAGCAACACACAGAAACACCUUUCGGUUGGUGGCGCACACGGUACACAGCCGCUUUCCCAAACCGUACGUACAUGGCCUCGCGCAGGCCCCACAUGCCAUCGUCCCGUCAACGAGAAACCAUUUUUCUAUCUACACAUUCAUCAAUUUAAAAACCCCAACUUCUGUUUUAAGAAAGAAUUUAAAAACUCCAAGUGUGUAGUAGAUGGUAGGAUGACAGGUAGCAGGUGGUCGUUGGUGUCCACGCACUGCCGAUGGACCGAUUCAAAAACCCAAAACCUUAAUGCGUUUCACGUGAUGUGGCCAAAGGAGCGCCGGUGCAUUCUUACUACCUGUUCGGUUUCUCUCCGCUCCAUCAGCUGCGCUUCCGGAGCCUAUUUUGACGGAGCGGCUGACACCGAGCUCCACAACUACACAGAGUGGAGCGGCGGGGAGAGAUUCCGAACGAGGCCUUAGUGGGGAGUUACUUUGGCCGGCAUGCUCAUCAUCAUCAUCAUCGUUCCUUCAUGCCUCGCUCGGUUUUUUUCUUCUUAUUUUUGAAUAAACAACAUGUGUCAGCUGCCGUUGCUUUCAUUCUUUCCGCUGGUCGUUGGUUGGUUCCACUCUCGCUUUCUUGAUUCUCUCUUCCUACCAGCAGCAUCUCGUAAGCUAACAACUGAUCUUGCAAUUGUUCUUCUUCUGCCGCUGCUGCAGGUGGGCUCUGCCGGAGGAGCUCGGCGCCCGUUGAUCAUGCCGGCCCCGCCGCCCCGCGCCGCGGGGCAGAGGUCCCGGAAGAAGAUGGUAAGUUUCACGCUCGCUCCAUACCAUACAUUGGAAGCGAGUUUGGCUGGGGGCAGUGCAGUAGUACGAAGCCGUGUUUAGAUAUAGUCAUACAUUUGAACGAAGUUGUAGACUUUUACUACUAGUCAGGUUUCCAUCGAAUUCCUAAACCGCGUCAGCAGGCGGCACAGUCCAGGCAGACGGAGUCAGUCGUAGGAGAAGUGAGGCUGUUCAAUUGGCUGGCAUUCUUAAUUGGUUUUUAGUUGCUUUGCCUGGUGGAAUAAAGCGGGUGGUGCAACCACUUGUUGCCACCAUAGGAAUCAAAGAUGAAGAGAGAGGGAGAGGCAGGCGGAUAAAAGCGCGCGCUUGCUGUCCAUAGGACCAGAAAGGCAAGAAAGCUGCGUGCCCAAAAAGAUCAUCUCCUCAUCAACGCCGGAUGGUCGGCCCUGUCCCGUCUGGAGUGAUGACCGGUUGCAUCAUAUAUUCAGAUUGCCCAUAAAGAAAUGAUGAAGGAGAAAAAUAGAUUAGCAUAUGGAUGGCUUUUUGGCUUGCUGGAUCUGGCCUGAACUUGUGCCGUGGUUUGCUGCAGAGGCUCCCGGAGGUGAAGCAGAUGGUGCUGUCCCUGUCGGCAGAGAACGCCGUCCUUCGCCAGGUAAUUCAUUAACAAGCACCAUCAGCUUGCUCUUUCUUAUAUUUCCCCUUGGUAUUUUUAGAAGAAGGUACUCUUCUAGUUUUAUGAAAAAUUGUUUUCAUGUUGUUCUUAUAUCAACAUAUUCCCUUUGAUUCGAACAGGAGAUGGAGUCGCUGCAGAUGGCCUGCAAGGCGCUCUCCAAGGAGAACGGCACACUAGAGGUGAGUGCCACGCACGCGCACUAUUAUACCAAUCUUAACUUCUCAGUAGCAGCGUAGCAUAGAUAGAUGCUUCCAUGUUGGGCGAGAUGUUCUCUGCCCGAGUGUGCAAUCAUAAGCACAUAGAAAGAAAGAAAGAAAGAAAGAAAGAUAAACCGGUUGGGCGCCUCCCACUUGCAUUGCCUGGUAGAGCAAGCCUUCAAGCACAAGUGAAUGGAUGAAUCGAUGGCAAAAGAAUAAGAGUGAAAAAUCGAUCGUCCUGAGCCUCCCAGCGGGGCACCAGACCACUGGAUGGGUCCUGCUUUAAUCUCUCUGUGCUGUGCUGUGGUUCGUAGCACGAUUUUUUGUUUUGAUUUGAUGGUCGCAACCCUCUCAACCACCGUUGCUGUUGCCGUCCGGAAGAAAACUGACUGCGACCGGUGCCGUCCGGAUAAGCUNNNNNNNNNNNNNNNNNNNNNNNNNNNNNNNNNNNNNNNNNNNNNNNNNNNNNNNNNNNNNNNNNNNNNNNNNNNNNNNNNNNNNNNNNNNNNNNNNNNNNNNNNNNNNNNNNNNNNNNNNNNNNNNNNNNNNNNNNNNNNNNNNNNNNNNNNNNNNNNNNNNNNNNNNNNNNNNNNNNNNNNNNNNNNNNNNNNNNNNNNNNNNNNNNNNNNNNNNNNNNNNNNNNNNNNNNNNNNNNNNNNNNNNNNNNNNNNNNNNNNNNNNNNNNNNNNNNNNNNNNNNNCUGAGCUAUAAGUUACUUUCUGAGCUGGACACUUCACUGUCUAUACUGUAUUGUACGCAGUUCAAUCAUAGUUUUAAAUAGCCCACUAUAGCCUCGCUAUAGCCUUUUCAGCAGGGUGUCGCUAAAUGGUAUCAUGUACAAAUAUACCGCUAUAGCUGAUUUAGAGGCUCGCCGCUAUUUGCCGUAGCCUGCUAUUUAAAAUAUUGAGUUCAAUACUUGGGCGUGCUGUAUGUGCAAAUGGNNNNNNNNNNNNNNNNNNNNNNNNNNNNNNNNNNNNNNNNNNNNNNNNNNNNNNNNNNNNNNNNNNNNNNNNNNNNNNNNNNNNNNNNNNNNNNNNNNNNNNNNNNNNNNNNNNNNNNNNNNNNNNNNNNNNNNNNNNNNCUGUAUGUGCAAAUGGAUGCACAGCACAGUGAUAUGUAGAAGUAGAAGAUGUCUUUGCUUGGUGUUAGCUGGCCGUACGCACGCUGUCCAGAACAGAAUCGUGUGCGAUAAAGAAGGCGAGGUUGCCGCUGAUCCUACCUGCAAGCAAAUGGAUCCGUGCGCACCUGCCCGGACGGGCACGACGAUCUCGUGCCCUUCUUUAAUGCCCUGCUACAGCGCUCCCGCCAUUACUAUAGUGGAAGAUGCAUGGUGUAGGUACCAUCCUCGUCUCUGCUUGACACCAAACAAACAGCUGAACAAGUUGCACGGUGGUGGCAAUAUGUUUAGGCUGGGCCAGCCAGCUGGACGGUCCCUGCUUGAUUUGCUUUCUCCCUGCUCUCCUCUUGUCUGGCAUGGCACCAUCGCCGUGCUCUCCUCUACCAAUGCCGUGCCAGUGCUCUCAUGGCGAGCAUCCUGCCCUGCUAAUGUAGCCACAGAUUGGUGCAUGCUGCGUUUCAGCGUUUGAUCAUAGCAUUAGCUCACUCUGCCUCUGCGCUGCUAAUGACUAAAAUUCAGCAACUCCUCAUCCGAAUUUCCCUCUAGAUUUCAGAACCCAGUCUGUCGCCGUCGAUCCGGGGAUUGGUUUUCUAGACGAGCCGGAAGUUUGGGACGCUGCCUUUGUGUGAAGGUCAUACUAACAUUUUCCUUGUGAACAAUUUCACAGACAAGGCUGGAGCAUUCUUCCUCGUCAAGCAAGCGGAAGAGGACCGAGUCCGAAGAGGAGGAGCGGCGACAAAGGAAGCCGCAGCAAGCCGGUGGCGGGUUCGCGCUCCCUGACCUCAACAUUCCGGCGCAGGAUGUCGCCGACGCACCAGCGGCUCCGUGAUGGCUCCGCUUGGGAACCCAGUCCAUCUCCGGUGGUGGCGCCUGACGGCUAACCUGAUAAGUUCAUUAACCGUGUAUAGGGGAGGAGGCUGAAUCUGAGGCUGGAAGGCGCGAUCUCUGAUCGCUCGUGCUGGCAGGGAGGAAGAGCAAUCGGUCGUGUUACCUUAGCUAUUUUUCUUUCUUCUGUUUAGUUUUGAGAUUUUUCUUUUGAACUGCCAGCAACGCUGGCUUUGUAUUAAGAUAGGUCGGGAGCGCAGUUUACAGGGUAGUCGCAAGGGUGCGAUCAAGAAUGAAAAGCGGGCAAAACGCCCAAGAGGAUUACAGACAAAGAAGAAAAACGUAGGGUUGAGCAUGGUCGGCGGCUCCCCAAAGUUUUUGCGGGUUUGGAACUGGGUAGAAUCCAGCUGAACAUGAUUGCGACGCGUGGCGCUACUUUUUUUUUUUUUUGAACGGUCAUGGGAAAGGGAUUCCCAUCAAAAUAUAUUGCUCAAAAAGCUGUCAAAGCCAAAAGUUACCCCUUAAGCUAUGGCUGAUUCAGUUUAUAACAAAAACUUGAUUGAAAACCUAAAUAAAUUGACCCAGUUUAGGAGGAAAACCGGAAUCCCACCUCCUCAGCCUUGAACCUGCGCCACCAUCGUCGUAGGACGAAUGAACAUUGUUCUACUAUAGGGCUAACUUAGAAAGGAAAUGGGGUUGAUGGACUUUUCCACUCGUGCCACGGGCGACAGGGAGGCGACCUCGAGCCAGGGACGAUUCUAGGGGGGACGAGGGGGGGGGGGGGCUAGGCCCCCCUAACAAAUUGAUUUUCUACUAUAAUAAUGAUUGUUAUAGCCAAAAAACUUCAUUUCAUAUGAACUUUGCCCCCCUAUGCUUGGAUGCUGGCUCCGUCCCUGCCUCGAACCUCCCGAAUCCCACAAUUAAUGGUCGUUCCCAACCACCCCCUCCUCAUUAUCCCACCUCCUCAGCCUCUCCUCCCCUCCCACCAACCCUCAUCUCUCCGAUCUCCUUGUGCGAUGGCGGGGGAGAGGCGUGGAGGCCGAGCGAGGCGCGUUCGUCCUGCGGCGAUGGUGGCGGCCCCGAUGGCUUCCCCCGUGCCGAUUCCGGUGGCGCAGCUGCCGGUCGUGGAACUGUGGGUGGUCCGGGGCUCUUCCCCGACCGUCCGAGUGGCCGAAGAUCAUGGUGGAUAUCAUUCGGAGAUCCACCUUCGAGGAACGAGCUCGGUUCUGCGAAGACGACGGGGGAAUGGACUACGAGCUGAUCUUCUGGCCAAUACAGGAUGCGGAGGCUGCGAAUCCAAUCCAGGUGUUGCGGUGGCGCGGGUUUAAGGCGGAGAGUGCCUCCCGUCUCAACAUUCGUUCACUGUCGGUGCUGGAAUUGUCCCAGCUUCCUCCCGAUGCGCUGCCUCCGGGGGUCAGACCGCCCCGCACCCCCUGAAGACUCGCGCUCCUGGCAGACACCUCCAACAUUCGGUGCUUGCCACGGGGGUGCGGGGGCGUCGGGCGGGGGAUGAGUUGCCUCGCAGCUUGGAACCACAACCAUGGUCGGGAGAUCGCGGUGAGGUUUACACUCACCGUAAUCAGGUACCUCGAUUCCGACUGAAUUCCUCCCGUAUCUGUGCUUAUUCUAAGAGAGUUUGUAGUGACCAUCUGGUCAUCGAAUCCGAAUGUUGUUCUCUCGGAUCGGACCCUGUGCUCAUUGUUCCUAGGGAAGGAGUUUCUACUCCGGUCAAACUGCUUUGUCCGGCAACGAACCGGGAGGAGGUGGCCAAACCACCAAAGGCACCUGAUAUCAGUCCGAAAAUGACGGGUCUCGGUCCCUCUCCGGUUCCUGCGCCUCUCAUCCAUGGAUGUGUGGUUAGGAGGAAAGCUCGUUUUCAAAAACCGUCUUCCCUUGUGGGAAACGUAUCCGAGGAGGUGACGGAGGAGUUUUUCAGAUAGCUCUGGGUUAUUCCUUCCCUUGUGCGCCGUCGACCCCAUAUAUACUCCUCUCCCCUCCUCCAAACCCUAGCUUUGCCAUACCUAACACCUUUUGGGUUAGGAAAGNNNNNNNNNNNNNNNNNNNNNNNNNNNNNNNNNNNNNNNNNNNNNNNNNNNNNNNNNNNNNNNNNNNNNNNNNNNNNNNNNNNNNNNNNNNNNNNNNNNNNNNNNNNNNNNNNNNNNNNNNNNNNNNNNNNNNNNNNNNNNNNNNNNNNNNNNNNNNNNNNNNNNCCGAUCCAGAACGUUUACCAGAGAUGAUUGCUUCCCUCUGAAGCACCUUGGUCGAUUUGAUCCUAUACCGACCUCCUUCAAGCUUUCAGUAGAAGGGAUCGGGCAUGGAUCUCUAUCCUUCACUGAGGUGGUUAAGGGGGGAAUGGAGGUUGGACGUCAGCAACAGCAGCGGUCUCCGCGCCCCAACCUAACAAGAAGACAGUGCCUAUCCAGGGGGGCAAGCCCAGCCUCCUCAACCUCCCCCUCCUGCUCCUGCGAAGCCACCCCAAACCAUGAACAAAGGGGGGGGAAGUGGCAUGGAAGAAUCAGGCUGUUGGAGGCAAUCCGGCUGUGAUGGCACCAAUAGCACGUCCGCCGGCGAUCCUGACCCCUCGUGUUGUCCAAGCUCUGGAUCUAAGGUACAAAGAGAUGACCUGCUUCAACUGUAGCUGGUUCGGUCAUUACGUUGGUAAUUGCAUUAAGCCCAAGAAGUGCUUCAUCUAUGCGGGAGGGCACAAUGUUAACAAUUGUGCAGCAUGGGCUCGUCAACAUCCCACUGCCACCUACUUUGGGAGCGCUGCUACGGGUCUAGGGUUUUAUCAUAUUGACGUCCAUGUGUCUACAGAAUCGAGUUGGAUGAAUUAUAAAAAUUGUGCAUUACUUCAUGUUGUAAGGGGAGAGGUUUCUGCUUCUGAACUGUUGAUGCAACUGAAUGGAAUCUUUUGCAAGAACAAGGAGUGGCCCUGGCAGAUAAGAGAACAGGAGGAUAAGAAGUUUAUGUUAAGGUUUCCUCCCCGGAGAAGUGUUGAUGAUCUGAUUGAUUUUCCUCCGUGUGAUUUACCUAUUGAUGGUGUCUCAGUUAAGGUUGUUGAAUGGCAAGGUAUGUUGAACCACUAUGCAGGAUUAACUGGAGCAUGGGUAUAGAUCGAAGGGGUACCUCCAAAAUGGUGCGCUUGGAAAGUAUUUGCUCAAAAUUACUUCCUGCUUUGGUAUUCUUGUGGAUGUAGAUUGGAAUGGCAUUUCUAAAAGCUUUUAUGAGACCAUUCGUGUGAAGGUUGCAUGUAGAGACCCUGCCAAAAUUCCUUUUGAGAGACUUGUGGAAAUGAAGAAGAAAUUAUAUUUGUUAUUCUUCACUGUUGAAGGUUUUGAUCAGAUUAGUGAUGAGGAUGAUGAUGAUGGAGUUGAUCCUGAUGAGGAAGAUCUUGACAAAAGCAAAGGUGGGGAGGAGGAUUUUGAGGGUAAUCUGGACACUACUGAUAAGGACAGUCAGGAAGAUGAUGCCAAUCCAAUAGAUGACCUUGAUAAGGCUAGUUUCAUUAAGAAGGAUAUUCUUGCCUCUGCAUGUGGCAACAAACAGAGAAGUGUUGUUUCUGCAACUGAAUUCCAUCCUAAGAUGUUGUUGGAGAAUGCUCACACUGCCUUCAUUGAGGAAAUCAAAAGAUGUGGACUCCCUGAAAGUGAUAAUUGUGACAAGGUUGAUGAAGAAAUGAUUUCUCCCAUGAGGAUGUUUUCUUCACCUCCAAAAGAUGGGGAACCCAUGUCUGUCCAUAUGGAUUACAUCUCUCAGCAACUGAAAAACUUUGACAUGGUUGAAUCUGAUGAAGAAGAAGGAGAUAAUCUAUGAGAAAUGCAAUGCUUACCUGAUGAGUUGAUAAAAGUUAUUGUCUCUACUAAGAGAUCUCUGCUAGAUACCUUGGGAAAGGCUGAUUCAAAGAAAAAAGGGAGAUUCCAGGAAGGGGCUUCUGCCAAAUGGGGUCCAGUGUUAUCUAGCAGGCCAACCACUCGUGGACAUGGGGACAUCAACAUUAUUGAUAAAGCCAAAGCCUAUCAGAAGAAGACGAAUUUGGAGAUACCCCCAUCAUUCAAAGGUAAUUCCUUUCCCUGUCUAGAUAAUUAUAACCUUGUGGACCAAGCUAGGAAAAAUGAUAUAUGUAUUGGUAAUGAUGAUAAUGAACAAGGUGCUAUUCUUUAUGACAUGAUAGAAAAUGAAAAACUAAGAUGCCUUCAAUUUGCUGAUCUUAACCCGGGAAUUGUUCUCCCUGAUAAUCUAGAUGUGGUUAUUCAAACUCAUUCCUCACCACAUGACAUUAUUCCAAGAUCUAAAACAGUGGGCAUUGUUGUUUUAGUGAGGGAUAGCCCAACCCUACUCAUGAAAAAGCAAGCCUUGUGGCUUGUCACAUCCUUUUUAAAUCUCACGAUAGGAGACUUUUGGAAUAUCAGGGGUCUAGUGUUGGGGAACAUCGCAUGGGAAACAAAACUUUUCCUACGCGCACGAAGACCUAUCAUGGUGAUGUCCAUCUACGAGAGGGGAUGUGUGAUCUACGUACCCUUGUAGACCGUACAGCAGAAGCGUUAGUGAACGCGGUUGAUGUAGUGGAACGUCCUCACGUCCCUCGAUCCUCCCCGCAAACCGUCCCGCGAUCAGUCCCACGAUCUAGUGCCGAACGGACGGCACCNNNNNNNNNNNNNNNNNNNNNNNNNNNNNNNNNNNNNNNNNNNNNNNNNNNNNNNNNNNNNNNNNNNNNNNNNNNNNNNNNNNNNNNNNNNNNNNNNNNNNNNNNNNNNNNNNNNNNNNNNNNNNNNNNNNNNNNNNNNNNNNNNNNNNNNNNNNNNNNNNNNNNNNNNNNNNNNNNNNNNNNNNNNNNNNNNNNNNNNNNNNNNNNNNNNNNNNNNNNNNNNNNNNNNNNNNNNNNNNNNNNNNNNNNNNNNNNNNNNNNNNNNNNNNNNNNNNNNNNNNNNNNNNNNNNNNNNNNNNNNNNNNNNNNNNNNNNNNNNNNNNNNNNNNNNNNNNNNNNNNNNNNNNNNNNNNNNNNNNNNNNNNNNNNNNNNNNNNNNNNNNNNNNNNNNNNNNNNNNNNNNCCUCCGUAUAUAUAGGGGGAAGAGGGGGAACCUUGCCUUGGGGCUCAAGGAGCCACAAGGGGGUCGGCCGAGCCAAGGGGGGAAGGUCUCCCUGUUGGGGAACGUCGCAUGGGAAACAAAAAUUUUCCUACGCGCACAAAGACCUAUCAUGGUGAUGUCCAUCUACGAGAGGGGAUGAGUGAUCUACGUACCCUUGUAGAUCAUACAGCAGAAGCGUUANAGAGUCAAUAAUCUAGCCCUCACAUCACCAUGUGAAUUACAUUGUAAUAAAUCUAACACCCAUACAGUUCUGGUGUUGACCAUGCUUUGGCCGUGGAAGAGGUUUAGUCAGCGGGUCCGCUACAUUCAGAUCCGUGUGCACUUUGCAUAUAUUCACGUCCUCUCCCUCGACAUAGUCGCGGAUGAGGUUGAAGCGUCGUUUGAUGUGUCUGGUCUUCUUGUGAAACCGUGGUUCCUUUGCUAAGGCAAUGGCACCAGUGUUGUCACAGAACAAGGUUAUUGGAUUCAGUGCGCUUGGCACCACUCCAAGAUCCGUCAUGAACUGCUUCAUCCAGGCACCCUCCUUAGUCGCCUCCGAGGCAGCCAUGUACUCCGCUUCACAUGUAGAAUCUGCUACGACGCUUUGCUUGGAACUGUACCAGCUUACUGCACCCCCAUUAAGAAUAAAUACGUAUCCAGUUUGCGACUUAGAGUCGUCCGGAUCUGUGUCAAAGCUUGCAUCAACGUAACCUUUUACGACGAGCUCUUCGUCACCUCCAUACACGAGAAACAUCUCCUUAGUCCUUUUCAGGUACUUUAGGAUAUUCUUGACCGCCGUCCAGUGAUCCACUCCUGGAUUACUCUGGAACCUACCUUCCAUACUUAUGGCCAGGCUAACAUCCGGUCUAGUGCACAGCAUCACAUACAUGAUAGAACCUAUGGCUGAAGCAUAGGGGACGGAGCGCAUAUGCUCUCUAUCUUCAUCAGUUGCUGGGCACUGAGUCUUACUCAAUCUCGUACCUUGUAGAACUGGCAAGAACCCUUUCUUGGACUGUUCCAUUUUGAACCUCUUCAAAACUUUAUCAAGGUAUGUGCUUUGUGAAAGUCCUAUCAGACGUUUUGAUCUAUCCCUAUAGAUCUUAAUGCCUAGAAUGUAAGCAGCUUCUCCUAGGUCCUUCAUAGAGAAACUUUUAUUCAAGUAAUCCUUUAUGCUCUCUAAAAACUCUACGUUGUUUCCAAUCAGUAAUAUGUCAUCCACAUACAAUAUUAGAAACGCCACAGAGCUCCCACUCACUUUCUUGUAAAUACAAGAUUCUCCAACCACUUGUAUAAACCCAAAUGCUUUGAUCACCUCAUCAAAGCGUUUGUUCCAACUCCGAGAUGCUUGCACCAGUCCAUAAAUGGAUCGCUUGAGCUUGCACACCUUUUUAGCAUUCUUAGGAUCGACAAAACCUUCGGGUUGUAUCAUAUACAACUCUUCCUUAAGGAAACCGUUAAGGAACGCCGUUUUGACAUCCAUCUGCGAGAUUUCAUAAUCGAAAAAUGCAGCUAUUGCUAACAUAAUUCUGACGGACUUAAGCAUCGCUACGGGUGAGAAAGUCUCAUCGUAGUCAACUCCUUGAACUUGUGAAAAACCCUUUGCCACAAGUCGAGCUUUAUAAACGGUCACAUUACCGUCAGCGUCCGUCUUCCUCUUAAAGAUCCAUUUGUUCUGAAUGGCCUUACGGCCCUCGGCAGUACCUCCAAAGUCCACACUUUGUUCUCAUACAUGGAUCCUAUCUCGGACUUCAUGGCUUCCAGCCAUUUGUUGGAAUCUGGGCCCACCAUUGCUUCUUCAUAAUUCACAGGUUCAUUGUUGUCUAACAACAUGAUUGAUAAGACGGGAUUACCGUACCACUCUGGAGCAGCACGUGGUCUCGUCGACCUGCGUGGUUCGACAGAAACUUGAACUGGAGUUUCAUGAUCAUCAUCAUUAACUUCCUCCUCAACUGGCGUCGCAAUGACAGAGGUUUCCCUUUGCCCUGCGCCACCAUCCAGAGGGAUGAGAGGUUCGACAACCUCGUCAAGUUCUAUCUUCCUCCCACUCAAUUCUCUCGAGAGAAACUCCUUCUCGAGAAAAGCUCCGUUUUUAGCAACAAACACUUUGCCCUCGGAUUUGAGAUAGAAGGUGUACCCAACUGUCUCUUUUGGGUAACCCAUGAAGACGCACUUUUCCGCUUUGGGUUCCAGCUUUUCAGGCUGAAGCUUUUUGACAUAAGCAUCACAUCCCCAAACUUUAAGAAACGACAACUUUGGCCUUUUGCCAUACCACAGUUCGUAUGGUGUCGUCUCAAUGGAUUUUGAUGGUGCCCUAUUUAAAGUGAAUGCAGCUGUUUCUAAUGUAUAGCCCCAAAAUGAUAACGGCAAAUCAGUAAGAGACAUCAUAGAUCGCACCAUCUCUAAUAGAGUACGAUUACGACGUUUGGACACACCAUUACGCUGUGGUGUUCCAGGCGGUGUUAACUGUGAAACAAUUCCACAUUGUCUUAAGUGAGCACCAAACUCGAAACUCAGAUAUUCACCCCCACGAUCAGACCGCAGGAAUUUGAUCUUCUUGUUACGAUGAUUUUCCAGUUCACUCUGAAAUUGCUUGAACUUUUCAAAUGUUUCAGACUUGUGCUUCAUCAAGUAGACAUAACCAUAUCUACUUAAAUCGUCAGUGAAGGUGAGAAAAUAACGAUAUCCGCCACGUGCCUCCACGCUCAUCGGACCACACACAUCGGUAUGUAUGAUUUCCAACAAGUCACUUGCACGCUCCAUUGUUCCUGAGAACGGAGUCUUAGUCAUCUUGCCCAUGAGGCAUGGUUCGCACGUGUCAAGUGAAUCAAAGUCAAGUGACUCCAAAAGUCCAUCAACAUGGAGUUUCUUCAUGCGCUUUACACCAAUAUGACCUAAGCGGCAGUGCCACAAAAAUAUGGCGCUAUCAUUGUUAACUCUAACUCUUUUGGUCUCAAUGUUAUGUAUAUGCGUAUUGCUAUCAAGAUUCAAUAUGAACAAUCCUCUCACAUUCGGUGCAUGACCAUAAAAGAUGUUACUCAUAGAAAUAGAACAACCAUUAUUCUCUGACUUAAAAGAGUAACCGUCUCGCAAUAAACAAGAUCCAGAUAUAAUGUUCAUGCUCAACGCAGGCACUAAAUAAUAAUGAUUUAAGUUCAUCACUAAUCCUGACGGUAACUGAAGUGACACUGUGCCGACGGCGAUUGCAUCAACCUUGGAACCAUUUCCUACGCGCAUCGUCACUUCAUCUUUCACCAGCCUUCGCCUAUUCCGCAUUUCCUGUUUCGAGUUGCAAAUAUGAGCAACAGAACCGGUAUCGAAUACCCAGGCACUACUACGAGAGCCGGUUAAGUACACAUCAAUAACAUGUAUAUCAAAUAUACCUGAUUUUUCUUUGCCCGCCUUCUUAUCUGCCAGAUACUUGGGGCAAUUGCGCUUCCAGUGACCCAUACCCUUGCAAUAGUAACACUCCGUUUCCGGCUUAGGUCCAGCUUUGGGUUUCUUCGUCGGAUUGGCAACAGGCUUGCCGCUCUUCUUCGAAUUGCCCUUCUUGCCUUUGCCGUUUCUCUUGAAACUAGUGGUCUUAUUCACCAUCAACACUUGAUGCUCUUUACGGAGUUCAGACUCAGCGAAUUUCAGCAUCGCAAACAACUCGCCAGGAGACUUGUUCAUCCCUUGCAUGUUGUAGUUCAACACAAAGCCUUUAUAGCUUGGCGGCAGUGAUUGAAGGAUUCUGUCAGUGAUAGCUUCUUGCGGGAGUUCAAUCCCCAGCUCAGCUAGACGGUUUGAGUACCCAGACAUUUUGAGCACAUGUUCACUGACAGAUGAGUUUUCCUCCAUCUUGCAAGCAUAGAAUUUAUCGGAGGUCUCAUACCUCUCGAUCCGGGCAUUCUUCUGAAAGAUAAACUCCAACUCCUGGAACAUCUCAAAUGCUCCAUGACGCUCAAAGCGACGUUGAAGUCCCGGUUCUAAGCCAUACAAGACUGCACAUUGAACUAUUGAGUAGUCCUCCUAACGUGCUAACCAAGCGUUCUUAACAUCCUGAUCAGCCGUAGCGGGUGGUUCAUCUCCUAACGCAGCAUUAAGGACAUAAUCCUUCUUCCCAGCUUGUAAGAUUAGCUUAAGAUUACGAGCCCAGUCUACAAAGUUGCUUCCAUCAUCUUUUAACUUAGCUUUCUCUAGGAACGUAUUAAAAUUCAGGAUGACUGUCGCGUGAGCCAUGAUCUACAACACAAAUAUAUUCAAAGUGGACUUAGACUAUGUUCAAGAUAAUUAGAGUUUAACUUAAUCAAAUUAUUCGCUAAACUCCCACUCAAAAAGUACAUCUCUCUAGUCAUUUGAGUGGUUCAUGAUCCACUUACACUAGCUCAAGUCCGAUCAUCACGUGAGUUGAGUAUAGUUUCAGUGGUAAGCAUCCCUAUGCUAAUCAUAUCAUCUAUAUGAUUCAUGAUCGACCUUUCGGUCUCAUGUGUUCCGAGGCCAUGUCUGCACAUGCUAGGCUCGUCAAGCUUAACCCGAGUGUUCCGCGUGCGCAACUGUUUUGCACCUGUUGUAUGUGAACGUUGAGUCUAUCACACCCGAUCAUCACGUGGUGUCUCGAAACGACGAACUGUAGCAACGGUGCACAGUCGGGGAGAACACAAUUUCGUCUUGAAAUUUUAGUGAGAGAUCACCUCAUAAUGCUACCAUCGUUCUAAGAAAAAUAAAGUGCAUAAAAGGAUUAACAUCACAUGCAAUUCAUAAGUGACAUGAUAUGGCCAUCAUCACGUGCUUCUUGAUCUCCAUCACCAAAGCACCGGCACGAUCUUCUUGUCACNNNNNNNNNNNNNNNNNNNNNNNNNNNNNNNNNNNNNNNNNNNNNNNNNNNNNNNNNNNNNNNNNNNNNNNNNNNNNNNNNNNNNNNNNNNNNNNNNNNNNNNNNNNNNNNNNNNNNNNNNNNNNNNNNNNNNNNNNNNNNNNNNNNNNNNNNNNNNNNNNNNNNNNNNCAUGAUCUCCAUCAACGUGUUGCCAUCGGGGUUGUCGUGCUACUCAUGCUAUUACUACUAAAGCUACAUCCUAGCAAAAUAGUAAACGCAUCUGCAAGCACAAACGUUAGUAUAAAGACAACCCUAUGGCUCCUGCCGGUUGCCGUACCAUCGACGUGCAAGUCGAUAUUUCUAUUACAACAUGAUCAUCUCAUACAUCCAAUAUAUCACAUCACAUCAUUGGCCAUAUCACAUCACAAGCAUACCCUGCAAAAACAAGUUAGACGUCCUCUAAUUUUGUUGUUGCAUGUUUUACGUGGUGACCAUGGGUAUCUAGUAGGAUCGCAUCUUACUUACGCAAACACCACAACGGAGAUAUAUGAGUUGCUAUUUAACCUCAUCCAAGGACCUCCUCGGUCAAAUCCGAUUCAACUAAAGUUGGAGAAACCGACACUUGCCAGUCAUCUUUGAGCAACGGAGUUACUCGUAACGAUGAAACCAGUCUCUCGUAAGCGUACGAGUAAUGUCGGUCCAAGCCGCUUCAAUCCAACAAUACCGCGGAAUCAAGAAAAGACUAAGGAGGGCAGCAAAACGCACAUCACCGCCCACAAAAACUUUUGUGUUCUACUCGAGAAGACAUUUACGCAUGAACCUAGCUCAUGAUGCCACUGUUGGGGAACGUCGCAUGGGAAACAAAAAAUUUCCUACGCGCACGAAGACCUAUCAUGGUGAUGUCCAUCUACGAGAGGGGAUGAGUGAUCUACGUACCCUUGUAGAUCGUACAGCAGAAGCGUNNNNNNNNNNNNNNNNNNNNNNNNNNNNNNNNNNNNNNNNNNNNNNNNNNNNNNNNNNNNNNNNNNNNNNNNNNNNNNNNNNNNNNNNNNNNNNNNNNNNCCACUGUGCUGGAAAGAGACCUGUAGCUAUGUUGCAUGUUGCUCCCAAACAGCUAAGAUGCAGAUUCUGGCAGAUUAUGUAGUUUUACCAUUUUGUUCAAAGUAUGUGCUUAAUUGAUGUUGUGGUGUUCUACCUUGCUCCAAUUCAUUCAUGUUGGGUUAUUACAUGUCUUGGCAACCUAGGAAUACCAGAUUUGUGCCAAUUGUGUGUGUGGUGAUGAAUCUUUCAUGUAGAGCUUCAUAUCUUGUUUCGUUGAUUCCCGUUGAUCCGUAGCUCCGUUUGCAAUGUUCCUUAUAUGGUUUUGUACCGUUUUCACGAGCCACAUCUGUUCAUGUCGUUCUCAUGCAUGUAAAAAUAGCAUAGUGCACAGUUAUGUCCAGAAACUUGCUGUAGUUUAUUUUGCUUGUGCUAGUGAUAGAAAUAGUGGUGCAUGCUCAACUUUCAUCUCAUGCAUCAUGUGAUUGUUGCAUCUUGUGGUGCUGCUGUUCAUUGGCUGUAUUCUUAUGUUGGGUAGCACCGGGAGCGGAGAACGUAUAUGUGGAGUCAGGAGAGUACGUGCAGGACGAUCCAGAACCAUUCCAAGCUGAGGAUAUCACAGGCAAGAUGAUAUGACCUUGAUUCCAUCUCUAGACUUGUUAUGUUAGUUUUGUUUCCAUGUCAUAUUGCUCGCUGCCUACCACUGAAAUUAAAUUGCCUCUUCAUAUGCCAUGAGCCCAAACACAGUUCCCCUUCCUAGCAAACUUGUGUGGCUAAGUAGGCUUGCUCAGCUACUAAUGUUAGCAUUGUUAGUUGCAGGUGUUUUAAACUCAUGUGAUGACAUGAGCUUGAUAUCAUUAUAUUAAAUUAUGUUAUUUAAUUAAUGCACCUAUAUACUUGGUAAAUGACGGGAGGCCUAGCCUUUUGCCGGGUGCUUUGUUCCGUUAUUGCCGCCUUAGUUACCGGUUACUGGUGUUUGAUUCCAUAAUGAUCGCUCCUAACACGUUCGGGGUUGUUAUGGGGACCCCCUUGAUAAAUCGCGUAGUGAUAAGGCUUGUCUGGCAGGACCCAACAUUGGUGUUAAUUUGCUAAUAACUUAAUAAUAAUCUGCAUAGGGAGUAGCUACCCUGAGGUUUCUUAAUCAACAACCCGGGCCAGUGCUCCUCAUGAGUGUUGGUCCAAUCCAGAGCAACUUAUUACGCUCCCCGGGGCAACUCGGUGUUUUGGCGUGGUAACCAUCGCUCAUCCGGCGUGUCCUGAGACUGAGAUACGCGGCUCUUAUCAGGGUCGUCGACACGUCGGGAGGUCCUGCUAGCCUUGUCUUACCUUAGCGGUAUAUCUUGCGUAUAGGAAUCCCAGUGAAGAUUUGGGUUCCCCCAGGGUUGAGGUUUUCCUCUAAGGAAUCCGACGAGAUCACGAGAUUCGUGAUAGAGGAUGCCUUUGCGGCCUGUGUUCGUUUGUGAUGGACUAGUUGGAGCACCCCUGCAGGGUUUAAUCUUUCGGAAAGCCGUGCCCGCGGUUAUGUGGCAACUUGGAAUAUUUUAUUAACAUCCGGUAUUAGAGAACUUAAACAUAAACUAAUAAAACUGCCAACUGUGUGCAUAACCGUGACUGUCCCCUCGAAGAUCCCCCUUCGAUCGGGAACAUCGUGGGGUUAUGAAUGCCGUAGGUAGGUGAUCAGGAUCACUUACUGAUCAAGUAGCUCCGACCGUUAGCGUAGACCACCUUCACUUUGCUCUUACGUAAGUUAGCCACUUGAUCAAACAUAGGAUGCAGCAGCCUGAUACACUUUAUCCCUACCUUACCCAAUAACAUGACUAGUUCUGGCACCAAGGUCUUAGAUUGCUGAGUCCCCGUGGCUCACGGAUUCCUCUGAAACUCCCAGCAGGUACAGGUACCCCAGAGACAGAUGAUCCCGAUGUCACCCAGCUGGCGUGGUAGUACGACGAGGAGAUAGACCGCCUCUACGUGAACUAUCCCGAGGACUGAGCCGUGGUCGUGAUCGUGGGCCUGCAACGGGUAGCAUAGCAUUUUUCCUUGUUUUGUAGUCCGUACCGGAACUACCUUGUUUGUAUCUGCGUUGUACUCUGAGUUAUUAAUAAGAAGACAGUUGAAUCCCAAAUUGUCUACUUGCUUGCGAAACGCUUAGAUGCGCUUCUUUCCUAUUCGGGGGCCUUGACCCCCAGAUCAGAAAGGACCGCAUCUUUGUCGUUACACUAAUUAUCCCAAGGAGACGGAGGAAAACCUUCUAAGGUUUCUAAUAGAUCAAAAUUUCUGUGACCACAUACUGUUUCCAUACAACUUCAGGUGAGGGUCUUUACUCUGUUGUGUCCAUUCACUUAUAAGUGUAAUUGAUAAGUUACUGACACACACACACACACACACAUAUAUAUAUAUACAUCUGCAGCUUUCAUUGGAUUCUGUUGGACAUUCAAAUUGAUAAGGAAAGAGUUGAUGCCUUCGACCCAUUAUCGAGACCCUUGGAACAGUUCCAAAGCCUGCAGGACAUGCUCCAAGGGUAAUUUUAAUCAUUCUUGCGCUCUAUCGGUCUCUUUCGAUGAUUUCUGAUAUAUCAAUUAAUGAAAAACUUAGCAAAUCAUUAUCCUUGUCGGGCAGGGUUUGGAAGCGGUUCAAGUGGGUGACUCCCGGUAUCGAGCCUGAGAAGCUGACCUUUAGAGCGGCUCAGGUAAGUAGCAGUAUGAUAUACUUCUAUUAAUUUUCAAUACAUUUAUGAUGCUAGAUUAUUAUUUUGAUUAUAUAUAUUCUAUUUCUCGUAAAGUGCGACCAACAGCCACGGGGAACGCAUCUAUGCGGAUACUAUGUUUGCGAGACCAUUCGCACGUUUACCUCUUAGUUCAAGGAUCACAGAUUCGACGUAAGCAAUGAACAUUCACACCUCUAUUUUUACCCGUCAUUCUUUGUUAUCAUGAUUGAUAUUCAUAUUCAUCUCCUCUUCUUAUAUAGCACACGGCCAUGAGGACGAAGGUCCUACCAGAGCAACGCGCGAUUGCUGUUGCAGAGGAGCUUGCGGGAUUUCUGAGGACGGAAGCUAUAGAAGACAAAGGACGAUUUAGUGUAGCUAAGGGCCAUUACUGAUGUUCAUCCAUGUAAUCGAAUAUACAGGCUCUAGUCCCGAUAAUUCAGAUCUCCAUAUAAUUGUAUAUAUAUGAUCGCUUGUAAGAUAAGUUAAUCUUAUAUAUAUAUAUAUGCAUAAUUAUUUCUAUUUAAAUUAUAUGAAAAAUAAUUCCCGAACACCAAACGAGGCAUCACGUUAAUCUCCCGAACACCUAAACCCUAAAACCCUAAAACCCAAAAAUAAUUUCAUUCGAAAAAAACCAAAAACCAGCAAAAUCUGAAAAUCUUUAGUCGCGGUCCUUGUAACGAACCGGGACUAAAGGGCCUGCCCCUGGGACGCUACGAGGCGCCCACGUGGAGAACCUUUAGUCCCGGCGUGUAAGAGGGCCGGGACGAAAAGGUUAGGCCUUUAGUCCCGGUUGGUGAACCGGGACUAAAGCCCCUUACGGGUCGGGGCUAAAGGCCCCGUCCCCACUAGUGAAGAACACCAUGAAGAAGAUUGUGAGGCGUGGGCGGGGCAAUGAGACGGGAGGGACGUCGGUUUAGUAAGUAGGUUGUCGUAUGGGGGGCCUCAGCUCAGAAGGGGGGAGGAGAUGGGCUUGGAGAAGUAGUGUGCGCACGAUGUCAUUGAUGGUGCGAAUGAGUCGUUCUGCUUUGCCGUUUUGAGGAGAAGUGUAUGGGCAAGAGAAGCGAUAUGCUAUGCCAUUGGAUGAAAGGAAGGACCGUAGAGAUUUGUUGAUAAAUUCGCCGCCAUUGUCACAUUGCAAUACUCUUGAUGAUAGAGUGGAAUUGCGUGUAAACAAACGUGAAGAAACGUUGGAGAACCGUGGACGUAUCAGAUUCGUGGUGUAACCGGGAAGUUCACGAAAAAUGGGUAAAGUUCUCCAACACAACAAGAUUUACUCCUCUAUUCGUUUUUUUAAAUUGUCCUCUAUACGGUUUUGAGUUAUUGACUAGAGAUGUUCUUUUGUUUAUGCUGCGGUGAAACGUGUCAAGGCGUCUUUCUUGGCCCCAAAGAAUGCUUCGAAGGUAGUUUUCCUUGCUGUUAUUGUAAGUUGUGCUAUGGUUAUGCUUAUGUGUGAAUUGUUUGUUUCGUUAGAUCAUCCAGAGUGUGAGGCUUGUUAUUUAGAGUCGCUCGAGUUCGAGGAUCGUCAACAAGGCAAGUUCACAUUGAUCAUGUUUUUAUCUAUGGUUUUAUUGCAUUAGUUCAACCUUCUCCACCUUGCAUGCAAAGUAGGUACUUGGAAAUUUGGUUCUUGAGUAGUAUCAUGUGGUAGACACCCAUAAACCCUUGUUACUUUGGUCCGGGACGUUAUUUUUAUUUUGCUAUGCUUCUAGUAGACGGGGUUUGGUUGAGUGUUUAUCAUGAUUGUUGUGAGAACUAAAUAAUAAAGACCUAAAGACUUCAAGACUUUCAAGACCUCAUGAUGCAAUAUAUAUUUGGGUGGGUGAUGGUAGAGCGACACCCUAGAGGAACGAGUGGUAGCCUAGGUGAUGUUGGAGAAGCGCUAGUAUUCACGCGGAAAGGUCCACCCAGGCACGAGUAGAUGAACGGAUACUUAAAGACCUGAGGCUUACCUGCACAACCACAAGCCAUUAUGGGCUCUAGCUUGGUUGGACAUCAUGGCGAUUCUGGACGGGCGGUGCUACGAGAUGUAGAAGAACAAUAGGAAUGGAUGGGCACCAACACUGGCUUAGAGGAACCUGGUGGAAGACCAUGUUUUGAUCAUUCAGUUCUCAAACACCCUACAGUGUGACGACUUCAACGAAGGCGAUCAAAUCUUGUGGGGAACAUGUGCAAAACUCUCCAGAGUACUCAAACCUAAUCGAUUAGCCGUGUCCACGGUUACGGACAACUUAAGCCAAAGGAACUGAAACUAUCAGAAACUCUCGACACAAAUAAUAUUAAUAAUGUGGGUAUUACUAUUAACUUGGGCAUGAGAAAUGGUUGGUGGAACCUUCUCAUUAAACAACCAACUUGUAGUAAUAAUUUUGCUAUUGGCCCCCUCUCUUGUUGUAGGAAAAAAUUGCUUCCCGUUAACAAAUUACAGGCCCACCUGCCAUAUAUGCAUAUAGUGUAGCAGAUGAAUUUUACCUCUCUUUUGUGACUUGUCGGCAUAUUAAUAUGCUGAACUACACGGCUGCAACGUAUCAUAUUGUAGAGUACUUUUUUCGACCAGAAGUGAGUACACGCUCAACGCUCGUUGAUUUGCCCCAGGAGUCAGAUGGACUCGACUACCUUCGAAGCUUCCACUAGUUUUGAUUAGUUUUAUCUCAUGAGUUGGCCUUCAUCCACUUUAUUGUAAUCUUUAUUGUAAUAGAAGACUCGAUAUGAGAUUUCGAUUAAUAAAGUAGUUGUGAUUGAACUCUUGAUAUAUACAUUGAUGUGUAGUGUGUGUACCAGCUUGAUCUUGGGAUGGUACGGAAACACCAGAGACUGGACCGUUUCAGGUCGGGUCGCUACAAGGCCUCACCUGUGAGACGCCAGGUUCUUCACCAUUAAGCUUGACGAGACCUUCGAUAUUUAUACAGUAUGCAACGAUGACAAGUGCUUUUUUGUAAUUAAGAAUGACUUAUGUUUCUUCGCUUCAACAUGUAAUUUCUAUUUUAUGCAAUUCGACUAGUUCCUCGCAUGUCAUGCAAGAAGGUAUAUCUUGAAGAGGCUCAGUUUCGAAGACCACGAGAGUAUGGAGAUGAGGAGAGCUAACCUGAGGACUAAACAUGGUCACACAUUUUUGGUCAAAGUAAUGAAUGCAGUUAAUAACACAGAAUUAGGGUGCUCAAAUUGGGAAGCUCUUUGCAAGACAUAUGGAUUUUAAGAGGAUAUGAAAAAUAACAUUCGAUCUUCGCCCUAAAGAUCAUAUUGAAGGUAACAUCGACAUUCGGGUGGAUGUCGAUAUGCUUCCUGUUUUACCUUCAUGUGAGUUUGUCAACCAUAUUUGUCAAGUAAUUUGCAUUCUAUAUUUAAAAUAGUUGGUGUUCAUCCAUACUAAAUUUGUUAAUUUAUAAUUUACGGCUUAUUUCGUUUCUUCGAAUGAAAUACAAAAAAUAAUUGAGACGACACAUUACACUUAUGGAUCACAUCUAACUUGGGAGGAGAAGGAUGUUCUUAUCAACUUUGUUAUUUGUGUCCUGGUUGGUAGGAAUAACUUCCCAUAUAAUUUGGGAACUGACCCAAAUUAUACAUUUUACAUGUCAUUAGUGCAUAGUUUGAGGGCGGAUGACAUUCACCGAAAUAUCUUGGUAUGAGUUGCUAAUUAAGUACACUACUAUUGCAUAAAUGGUGUUGAUUAUAUUGCUAACUAGGCUACUAUUAUGUUCUUCAAGUGUAACUGCCAAAUGAUGUUGUGCCUCCGUUGAUGCAUGGCGAAGGUUAUAUGACAAUUAAAAGCCCUAUGAAGCCCCAGUUCUCUUUUCCAAACUCGACUGAGCGCAAACCACAAAGACGACCCCAAAUUGAAGCAUGGAGAGAAAUAAAGAAGAAUCGCAAGUCACAAAUUGGCGACGUUAGAUCUCUCUCCUUCAUCACGGAGACAUGGGUGAUAUUUUUUAUGACAUUGUACCUAGGAGAGAGGACUAGGUCCUAUGAGAGAGAAGUUUUUCUGGUUUAUAUUAACUUGGCAUGAUCGAUUAAGAUGAUGAUUAUUAUGAUGUUUUUCUGCUUUAUGAGAUUUUAACUUGGUAUGAUUAAGAUAAUGAUGAGUUGUUAGAUGAGUAAGAUGAUGAUGAGUCAUCUGACAUAAUAUUUGAUUAAAUUUGCAGCGCCUUAGUAGUAGCGCAGGCACCCGCGCUACUGGUAGUCCAAAAACUGGCGCUACUACCAGGGUUACCUCUAGUAGUGUCAAUAUGUGUAACGCCAGGGCUUGGUGUCGAUUUAAAUGAACAAAUAAAAUAAAAAUGAAACCCUAAAUGUUAAAAAAUGUUACCAACAGGACUAAAGGUCUUUCUCCCCUCACGCCCCACAGCGGCCACGUGGAGCACCGUUACGCCCGGUUCGUAACACAACCGGGACUAAAAUUUCAUGCCUUUUGUCCCGACUGUUUAGUCCUGGUUAGAGAACGGGACUAAAGGCCCUCUGGAACCGGGACUAAUGGCCCUCUAGAACCGGGACUAAUGGCUUGUUUUCCACUAGUGUCUCUAUGAAGCGUCAAUCUUUAAUUUCAUGUUUAUGUCGAGUCAUUCCCUUCUUGUAACCUAUCACCCAAGCGUGGAUCCGCUCUUCGACGACGACCUUCGAUGGCUGGAUCCUACCAUUUCGGGUGGUUGCGAGCCGAUUGGAAGCAUGUGAGGUGGUGUGGUGUGGCAAGGUGCAGGCGGGCAGGUUCGGCAAUGGAUUUGUGGGUGCGAGUGAUGGAGAGGGGCGGUGCGGGGGAGGAUUUUUUCCCUAAGAGCCGGUGUCACUCGAUUAAUAUAAAGGGUUUGAUGCGGCGAUGAAUAAAAAAGAAUGGAGAUAAGGGAUCAUUUGGGUGGUUUAGCCCUUCAAAAACGAAUGUUUAAGUUGAGAAGAAUAGUUUUAUGCUGUUGAUUGAUUCUGUUGCGUUACAACUUACAUAUACAUCGAGGGAGAGAGAGAGGGCUCCCGAGAGAAUAGGCAUGCAGACCAUCGGGGUGAGAGGAUCCUGAAUUGUAGGAUCGGGCUACAUACAAUGAGAUAUACACCCUAUACAAUAGACAUACGUUAACACCCCCCUCAGUCGGAAUCCCAUUGGGAAUGGUGUUCAGGCUGGUCCAAAACUCGGUCAAGACCUGCGAGGGUAAUCCCUUGGUGAACACAUACCCAUACUCAGAGCUGGAGGGAACAUGAAGAACUCGCACUUCGCCGAGUGCCACACGAUCAGGGAUGAAAUGCAAAUCAAUCUCAAUAUGCUUGAUGCGUUGGUGCUGGACUAGAUUACACGCGAGAUAAGAGGCGAUGAUGUUAUCACAAUACAUCACUGUGGCAUGGGUUGGGGGAACCCGCAGCUCUUGGAGGAGUUGUCACAACCAACAUGACUCAACCAUGCAAUUUGCAACGCCACGGUAUUCUCCCUCUACACUGGAGCGUGAAACAGUGGGUUGCCUCUUGGAGGACCAUGGGAUAAGAUUGUUCCCAAGAAACACACAAAAGCCCAAGGUGGACUUGCGAGUGUCCGGACAUCCAGCCCAAUCUGCAUCCAUGUAUGCUAAAAGAUCCAAGGGCCAGUUCUUUUGAUAGCUUUUUUGGGCUUCUAGAAUAAGCUGCCCUCUACCCAACUUAUUCUAGAAGAUCAAAUAAAAAUAUUUUUUAGAAGCCUACUAGUAAAGUCUUAAUUAGUAGGCUUCUAAAUAAAUAAAUUUGGUUGGGCUUCUAGAAUAAGCUGGAUAGGGGGCAGCUUAUUUCCGCUUAUUCUAAAAGCUAGCAAAAGAGCUGGCCCUUGGAAGGCGACCGAAAAAUCAGAAGACCAUAAUGAGAUAUGCCUUGCAAGUACCGGAGAAUGCGCUUCACAAGUUGCAUAUGAAUGCCACGUGGUGCAUGCAUGAACAAGCAAGCAUGUUGAACCGCAUAGGUAAUGCGUGGCCGGGUAAGGGUGAGGUAUCGAAGAGCACCGGUCAGACUUCGUUAUUGUGUACGGUUGGCAAGUAGAUGGCCGUUAUUUGAGGAUAGUUUGGAGGUGGUGACAACCGGAGUGGAGACGGGCUUGCAGUUGAGCAUUUUGGCGCGUGCAAGAAGCUCAAGAGUGUACUUUUGUUGACAAAGAAAAAGGUCGGAUGUGUUGGGUGUAACAUUGAUGCCCCAAAAUGGUGGAGGGCACCAAGGUCCGACAUGGCGAAUGAGUUCUUGAGGACAUGAAUGAUGUGGUUAAGGGUGGCGUUAUCACUUGCGGUAAGAAUGAUGUCAUCUACGUAGACCAACAAGUAGGAAAAAGAUGUACCCCAGUGUAAGAUGAAGAGGGAAGUGUCACUUUUGGAAGCAUGAAACCCAAGAGACAACAAGAAAGCUUGAAAGCUAAGAAACCAAGCCCGAGGGGCUUGUUUCAAGCCAUGGAGUGACUUACGGAGAAGGAAGACUUGAUCCAGCUUUGUGGAGUCUACAAACCAAGCUAGUUGACAGGAGUACACUGUCUCAUUGAGAUCGAUCUGUAGGAAUGCAUUUUUUGACGUAAAGUUGGUGAAUCGGCCAUGAGUGGGAGGUGGCAAGGCUCAAUACAACACGAAUGGUAGCCGACUUGACCACCGGGCUAAAUGUCUCAAAGUAAUCCACACCUUCUUGUUGGGUGAAGCCACACACAACCCAUUGUGCUUUGUAUCGUGCCAAGGAGCCAAAGUUGAAUUUGUGGCGAAAGAUCCAUUUCCUCGUGACAUCAUUUGCACCUGCAGGUUUGGGCACCAAAGACACAGUGAAGUUUUCCAUUAAUGCAUUAAAUUCCUAUUGCAUCGCUUGGCACCAAUGGGGGAUCUUUGAGGGCAGAUUUAUAAGUGCGAGGAAUAGGGGAAAUGGAUGUGUUAGAGGCAUCAGCAAGGAAGAGGCGUUUGGGCAUGAGAAAACCAAUUUUGGCAUGGGUGGACAUCUUGUGGGAGAUUUGGGGUGGCUGUACCGGAACCGCAUGGGGAGGCAGAGCUGGCAACAGCUUACUGGAUGGAGCAGAUGCCGAGCAGGAUUCGGUGGUUCCGGGCGAAGAGAGGGCAGGGCUCUUGGGUGGCAGAUCCGAGGAAGGUGCGUUGGAAGACGAGGUCAACGAGGCAGCGUAUAGGGUGACGGGGAGAUCGUAGGAGGCAGGCGUUCCAGGAGCAGCAUCCGAGGGAGAUGCGGCGCGUGGGUUGGCGGAGAGGGGCGUGGGCGUGGGGUUGACCACAGGCGAAGCGGAGGGGUGCGAGUGGGUGCACGACGGGUCCGGUAUGGCUGGCGGAUCAGGUGGAGGCCCAGACGAGGUAGUAGGCGAUGGACCCAAGAGAUCCGGGUGGGUAGGUGAUCGUGCAUGGGGAUUUUCUUUGGACGUACAGGGUGUGUGUGGCUUGGUGGGCAGGGUGUGUAUGGAAAAAUCGUCUCGCCAUUAGGACACGACGGGAUGUGAGGUCAUAGCAUCGAUAUCCUUUGUGUUCAAGUGCAUGGGGCAAGUUUGUGAUCCAUGGUUGCAUACAAGUUCGGAAAGCAUAGGCAACCGAACACACGUAGAUGGUCGUAGGUCGGAAGAACACCAUGAAGAAGAUAGUGAGGCGUGGGCGGAGCAAUGACACGGGAGGAACGUCGGUUUAGUAAGUAGGUUGUCGUAUGGAGGGCCUCAACCCAGAAGGGGGGGAGGAGAUGGGCUUGGGGAAGUAGUGUGUGCACGAUCUCAUUGCUGGUGCGAAUGAGUCGUUCUGCUUUGUCGUUUUGAGAAGAAGUGUAUGGGCAAGAAAAGCGAUAUGCUAUGCCAUUAGAUGAAUAGAAGGACCGUAGAGAUGUGUUAAAAAUUCAUGCCAUUGUCACAUUGCAUACUCUUGAUGAUAGUGUGGAAUUACGUGUAAACAAACGUGAAGAAACGUUGGAGAACCAUGGACGUAUCAGAUUCGUGGUGUAACCGAGAAGUUCACGAAAAAUGGGUAAAGUUCUCCAACACAACAAGAUUUAUUCCUCUAUUCGUUUUUUCUAUUGAAAUUGUCCUCUAUACGGUUUUGAGUUAUCGACUAGAGAUGUUCUUUUGUUUAUGCUGCGGUGAAACGUGUCAAGGCGUCUUUCUUGGCCCCAAAGAAUGCUCGUAAACAACCGAGCUUAAAAUAAACUUUUUUAAACACACAAUUUGCGUUUACACGGAAGAUCUUUUCCAAAGACAGUUUACUUACGGGCCUAGAUAGACGUGCAAGAUCUUUUCCAAAUAGUAUGAGAUUCCUUCAAGAUCAAUCUCCAGAUACACCCAACAAGAACAAAGAUCUCUUUCCGUAUAACAGACCACACGAGGGUUUCCAUACCAUUUAAGCGAUCCUAGCGACUUAUAUUUUCCCACGUAAUAACCUACCCAGUGGCAUCUCUCAAAUUCCACCGCUGGAUAGACGUAAGAUAGAUCUCCCUCGGCAAGUCGCCAUGGACUCCCGCUCCCGCAUCGACGCCGCGGAAGAAGCGCGCCGCCGGCAGGUGAUGGACAGCCUCGGCGUGUACGACGCCGAGUGGGCGCUGUCCAAGGUGUUGGAGCAGUCUGACGUCCAGGCCGGGCAGAACCGGCUUCUCCUGACCAAGGAGGCGGUGCAUGCUGGCCCCAUCCCGAAGCUCUUCCCGGAGCUGGACGAGCUCCGCGACGACGGCAUGAACGCCGAGAACAAAGUCUCGGUCAAGGUCCUCGACGCCGAGGGCCGCGAGAAGACCGUGAACCUCCGCUUCCUCAACUCGAACAAGGCGUACAGGAUCAUGGGGCCUGACUGGAGGCGGCUGGUGGAGGUGAGCCGCAUGCGCAAGGGAGACCGCCUCGAUAUCUACACUUGCAGGCGCGGCGAUGGCGAAAGGUGCCUCUUCGUGUUCAUGAGCUCAGGGCAGUGGGCCAGUGGCGCCGGCAAUACCUGCCGGAGCAACGGUCCUGUGUUGAGACGGCCAGGUUCUGCGGCAGGUCACGCUGUCGUCAAUGGCAGUCAAGAUGAUCCAAGGCCACGCUUAUGAUCGUUCGAGGUAUAUGCCAUUGAUUGGUGAGAUUAAAUCGUUGGUUUCUGAGGAUAGGGAGAUCGCUAUCAGGCGUACACAGAAUAGGACUAGCCUUUUUUUGAGAGAGAGAGAGAGAGAGGCAGAAUAGGAAUAGGACUGCCAUGCCAAUAAAAUCCUCCUUUGUAAAAAAAAUGCAGAUAGGUAGCUGGCUGCUUCCUUCUUUUUUUCUUUUUCUUUUUACCCAAAAAUAGAGCCUUUGGUGGAGAUUUACAAUGCAUAAUUUGGUUGAGUUUUGAAAAUGGUCUUGUCAAGUAUCCACUGCCCAUUGCACCCGCUAAAAUCAUCUUCAACAGGCACCCAAAAACUGCUCCGCACGUUAAAAGAUUUGUUUUUUAGGCGCCAAAGACAGAAAACAACGCUACAACGUAUAAAAAAGAUGCAUUGCAUUAUUGGGGCAUCGGAUUGCGCACGCUGACCGCUGCAAGUGGGGCCACCGGAUUGGUUGCCGUGUUUUUGUGCAUGUGUUGAAGAACAAAGUCUUAGCAGGACGCACAAUUGCUAUUUCGACGCUGUAAAAAAAGAUUUAUAACGCCGCGCUACAGCAUGUCUGUUGAAGAUGCUCUAUAGAAAAGUGUAAAGGGCCAAUCAAGAUCUUCGAUACAUUCAGCAAAGCAAUACAAGCAAAGUGUAACAUUACAACUCUACAAAAUCGUUACGAUACGCCCAAUCAAAAUCAAGCUAAUAACAAGGAUUAUGUUUCUUAUUAUAACAUGAGAAAAACUUCAUAAAAUUUGACAAUCAAGCAAAAUAAAUGAAUUUACCCUAAAGGCUAUGACAAAAUAAGAAUUUAUAAUUAAUUUCUCAAUCCGGAGGUAGAGGAAGGCCUGGGAGCCGGAGCCGACACCGCCGGAGGACCAGGCGGAGCAGACCCGUGGGGACCGUAGAGGGGGAGGAGGAAGGAGAGGGCGAGGAGGAGAAAGGAGGGAGGUGGGAGGAGAAAGGAUGCCCUGGGAGCCGAUGCCGCCGGACGGCUGGCCGAUGCAAGCCCGUGGGGGAGCGCGGAGGGGGAGGAGGGAGGAAGGAGAGAGGACGGAGGAAGGAGGAAGGGGAGUAUACAUGCGCAGGCGAGGACGGUCGCCGAAGCUGGCAUCGGCUGCUAGGACGGUCGCCGAAGCGGGUGGUGGCGGCCAACCCUAGCCCGUCUUCCUCGUCUCUGUUCGAUUGUGUUCGUGGAUGACGUCGGGAGAUAUACAAGCGAACCGGUACAACUUGCGAGAUGGUAGCGUGGGUAAUUUGGACGGAAAGUUUGCCCUCGAAGCUGGAAUUCGGGGUCGAGCUGCUUUGCAAAUUGCAGUGGCUCGAAGCUGCUGCUUCUCCGAAUCUGCUGCUUCUCCGAAUCUGCUGUGAGAAAUAACCCCUUUGGUUAAGAUUCUAGCUUUUUUUACUAAGAAGUUGGAAUCUAAAGUCCAACCAAACACAGCCUAAGGAAGAGUGCGGCCUGCUCGAACCGAUGCACCAGCGCGGCCGGAAGUGGCGAAUCAGACCUCCGGGACCCGUGAGACGACGUCUGAGAACACAAUGUGGAGGGCGUCGAGCAGGUUGAGUGCAUGUGGUGUUGGCGAUCCGGGGCCAUGGGUACGGUGCAUGGCGCGAAGAGGUCGCACUUUGUUUCGAGAACACACAAGGACUCUCCGUGUGUAUGUAUUAAGAUAGGGAGAAUCAAAAAGUGUACAAUGAGAAAUUCGGACAACGCAUGUGGGCCGCCCCUAGAUCACGUUAGAAGGAACCUCGACCGUUCUCAAAUUGCGAUAGGGAUUGCAGAUAUAGGGGCUGUUUGGAUUGUGACUAUCUUUGCCAUAUCUUACCACAUUAUUUUUGCCACACUUGCCACACUUGUCUUACUUGAGUUGCUCAAAUUGUUAGCCACACAUUGGCUUGCCUAAGGGAAUCUUGUCACACUUUUUGUGUCUAUGACAUGUGGGGUUUAGUACUCAUUAAAAAAUGCUUGCCUUAGGUGUGGCUAGAACCAAACACCCACCUAACUUAGUCAAACUUGCCUAAGGUAAGUUGUGGCAAAGUGUGGCAAGGUGUGGCUAGGAACCAAACAGCCCCUAUGGCGAGGUAAGGCGGUGCUGGCCUUCCUAGUGCAAGCUAGGUGGAAAAAGGGCCCCCUGAUGAUGUUGGCCCUUCCUCCGUGACAGAAACAUUGGUCGUGCUUCGUGCUCUGCUUUCAUGUUGUCGUAAGGGAUAUAUAUGUGCUGGUAGACGAAGGUGUCCCGAUGAAUCAUCCAUGGAUUGGCCUCAGUUUGCGCCUCCUCGUCCAGUGGCUCCGGCUGCUCCUCCUCUGCCUCAUCUCGGGCAGUGUAUUUAUGAGAGGGGUUAGGGAGGGAUUUCACUCCGAGUGAGAGUGUGAUCGGAGGGAAAAGAUGGUAAGAGGAAAUUGGGUCGGCCUUGGCGGUGCAUCAGGGUGCGAGCGAGAGGAAUUCAAUUUUGCAUGAUUUCGGUGCACUUUUUUAGGGGAAACGUUGCCUAUUUAUUCAAUGUUUAUAGCUCUCUCGGCAAAAAUCUCCAAGCUAAUACACUGAUGAGAAACAUGAAACCACGUUUCACAUAACAACUUACAUCAACCCUUCCUAGCUAGCAUGCAUAUGUGCAACCUUGUUCGUCGAUCUUGGCACCCAAGAAGCCAUAAAUUCUUGAAAUGACCCAAGUAGCGACUUAAUCUCUUCCACUAUUUGCCAUUAGCAGAAAUACCUUUUUUCACUCGAAAACUUUGUUACUACCACACGAGAAUCCGUGUAAACAAUCACCUUCUUGGAUGUUUAAAACUUGAGCUAGGACAAUGGCUCUCCGGCAAGCCAAUUACUCUAUCAUCUCUCAAUCAGCAGCGACAUGAUUUCUUUUUGGCAUGAACCAACUAAGAAGUCUCCAUGGUUUUCUCGAAGAACAACUCCUCCGCCUCCUGAUCCUUCAUUCUUUGAUAGCACACCAUCAACAUUGACCUUGCUCCAUGCCUCACCUGGAUUACUCCAUUUUUGCAUCUCAUGUUGGUUUAGUUGGUGGUGUGUGCGGUUGCAGCAGCCCUAGCAGUUCAAGCAUGAGUCCAGGCUCAAUGCAGCCAAGUGUCCAAAAAGAGCAACGGGAGGGGCUCGCUUACAAGCAACGAAGUGUACGAAUGUAUUUUUUUUUUUUACUUCAGCGGUUGAAAUUUUUGUAAUUUUGGUCGAAAAUAGGGGUAAAUAAAGUGACGGAUAAAACCCAAGAGAAACGUGCCUUCCUUUAAUAUUAGGUAUAGAUGUAAUUGUAUGCAAUUAUGGAGAAGAUGACAUAGUUAGGCACAGCCACGAGCAUGUCGUUUGCCCUAUUUUACAUCAUUUCCAACGGAAGAAAAAAUUAUGUUCUCCUAUUUUACAUCAUCUACGACGGCAAAAAUAAUUGGUGCCAUCAAACUUCUUUAUGAUAUCUUAUUAUAUACAUCACUAGCAAAAGGACCCGUACGUUGCAACGGGAAAAAAAUAAUACCACACAUUUUUAAUUAAAGAAUUUAGAGAAAGAAAUUAAAGGAAAGAGAGAGAGUAGUAGUGCAUAGUCCAUUAGGCGUGCCAAGGCCCAGCCUUACCCACUCAUAAAUCCCCUAACCUAGCCCGAUCCCCAGCCCCCUCCUCUCCUCCACCUCGCGCCGCUAGGGGAGAGAGCCCCACAAGAUCCCCAAUCUCCCUGACUCCCCCUUUCAAUGGCGCCCGCACUCGCCUCCUCCUCUGCUCCUCCAUCGCCUCCGACCUCUGCACCUCGCGACCACCUCCCAUGGUGUGCUGCUGCGAGGUUGGCCUACGGGGUCAGUCUCCGGCAAGACUUAAGUUUUGGACACGUUUAAGCAUGGGUUGGGCAAAUGACAUGUCUAGGGUCGUGCCUAGGCUAUGAGGACAUAUUUUACCGUGUUGGUAUUCCAAUAAAAAUGUGUUGGUCCCACGCAAAUCUAUCCAUCGACACAGCAUUGUAUUUUUUUAUGUUGGCUCAAAAUACAACUAAUAAAGUCAAAAAGCACAUGAUUAAUUAGGGAAAACAUUCCACUCCAAAAGAAUUUGCAAGGGAUGUCGCAUGCCGGUCGAUUUAUGAAGUGUGACGUGCCUAGGCUUAGAGUCGGAGCAACUACUUAGGGAGCCUUCCCUCACAAGCAUGUCACUAAUCACUUUCACGCGUCGCCACUUGACGCGUUCCCAGUCGCCGUCACGUGUCGCGUUUUGAGCGUUUUUUUGGAUUUUGUUUUUUGUUUUUUAUUUUUUCACAUGCGUUUUCGCCUUUUUAACUGGGUUUUUCUCGACCAUUAUUUGUGUUCCGGUUUAUACCGGUCUUUCAUAAGUUUUGGACAAAAAAAUAAUACAUUUUCUGUUUUUUUUCUUGCGAGAGGCACGAUUUUGUCUUCGUGGAAGGCACGGUCAGGAAAACAAACCAUGUUUUCUUCUUUGUUUUGCGAGAGGCACGGUUUUGCUUCCGCGAAAGGCACAUUUUGCCUUCGCGAGAGGCACGCCCGUGCUUUUCGGAAAGGAAAAAAAACAAGUUUUCUGGUUUUUUUGCGGGAGGCACGGUUUUGCUUCUGUGAAAGGCACGGUUUUGCCUUCGCGAGAGGAACGCCCAUGCCUCUCCCGGAAGGGGAAAACGUGUUUUCUGGGUUUUUUUUGGCGAGAGGCACGGUUUUGCAUCCGUGAAAGGCACGAUUUUGCCUUCGCGAAAGGCACGUGCCUCUGAUGCAUUUUCUGCUCUCUCUCUUUUUUGGAAAGGGGAAAACGCGUUUUCUGUUUUUUUUCUAUCGCGUGAGGCACGGUUUUUUCGUCUGUUUUUUUUUCCGGGUUUUUUCGUGAAAAAAUGGUUCGUCAAAACCUAUCAACAUGGGAUCUAGUUUUUGAAGAUCUCAACACGAGAAAACCAACGGUAAAAACGGUUCGAGAUUUGAACGCACGGUUUAGGAGAUAAAACGUUUUAAAAUACAGAUCUACGGAAAAAAAAACUCCCUGAUUGUGAGAAGUGACACGCAUGCAGUGCGCCAUUUAUCGCAACAUAUGAAAGUGAAAAUGACCAUUGAAAAGUGUACUUGUUAACUAAUGAUUUCGCCUCGAGUCACAUCAUAUGUGCCUUGCACGAUUUUAAGCAUGGACUCGGUUGUGUCAUACCGUUGUACCGGCUCAUUUGGACAACUUUGACAUGAACGAACAAUAGGCGUGCCUAUGUCUCACACUCUCACUUCAAGCGAGACAAUAUGACGGGUAUGUUUGGUUCAUGACUAACUUUGCCACAACUAACCUUAGGCAAAGUGUGGCUGCCAUAAAAAGUAUGGCUAAUAAAAUGGACACCACAAGUGUGGUAAAAUUUGGCAAAAAAUUAAGUGUAUGACAUAUGGACCAUAUAACUAGAAAAGUAUGACAAGUCACAAGUGUGGCAAUGAAUCAAACACAUGACUAAGAUAUUGUGGCAUGACUAAAGUUAGGCGUGGCAACCUUAGGCUGGAAAUCAAACAGCCCCGACAUCUCGCUGAAGGCAACCCAUGCAUGAUCCUCGGGCAUGUCGUGGACCAGCCCAGUGCGGACAGAUGCCUCCAGCGUUUUCCUUUCUAUUUUAUUACUUUUUUGCAUUCAUUUUAUGUUUUGUUUAUCUUUGCUUGUAUAUUUUGAAAUAUUCUGGCUAUGUCUAUUAAAAAAUCAAUUUAUAUUCAAAUUUUAAAAGUUGUUAAUCAUGUGCAGAAAAAGAUGGUUGACAUAUACAAAAGUUGUACAAUGUGAAUUAAAAAAGUCAAAAUCAAAAAGUAUAUAUUUUAUAAUUUUUUGAAAAAUGUUAAUCAUGCAAUAACAAAUAUUACAAUUAUAUAGAAAAUAUGUUUCGGGCGUAUACAAAAUCAGUAAAAUGCACGAAGUAAAAAAGAUGAAAUAAAAUUACUAUAGGUUUAAUAAGAAUUAAAUUUUAUUCAUGCAUCUAAAAAUGCUAAAUUUGUAUAGAAAAAAAAUCAUUAUAAUGUAUAUACAAAAUGUACAAUGCGUGUGGAAUAAAGUAGACAUCAAAAUAUGUAAGUUUUUCAAAAAAUAUAAUGGAUUUGGACAAUGUUAAACUUGUACAUACAAAAAAUGGAAACCCGUAGAAAAAAAUGAAGAAAAAAAUUGAAAGAAAAAAUAAAAUAAAACGAACAAAAAAGAGAGGACAAAACCGUGAGCGACCGAGCGCCCGUUCACGACGACCAACACGGUUGCGGUGCUUCAGGUAGUGUUUCUUUAGAGAACUAGAUUAAAAACAGUUUAUUUUAGUUUCUACGUAAAAAAACAUGAGGAACUUUUUUUUUAAGAAAUUAAAUAAUGACUCUAUUAAAAAGACUUUUUUUCUUUAUUCCAUGGAUGGAGCUAAAAAAAAAGUCUAGCCCUCAAGAAACACCACCUCAUUUGGCGUGGGCCGAGGAUUUGCCCCAUUUUUGCGCAAACCAAAACCGUCGCCUUGCGAAUCAGCAAAUCGUCGGGUCGCUUUCCCCCCAAUCUCCGCCGCCGGUUGUUCGGCGCCCCGGCCGCCACCGCCCGCGGCGCUUGAUUUCUCUCUCCACCCAGCCCACAGACCAGAAUGGCGGCGCCCAAGAGCCCAGGGAUCUCGACGAUCUCGACCUGCACCCCAGAGAAGGCGCGGGGCGACCACGUGCUCAAGAUCGAGGGCUACAGCCUGUGCAAGGGCCUCGGCGUCGGCAAGGUCAUCCACUCCGCCCCCUUCGCCGUCGGCGGCUACGACUGGCGCCUCAGCUACUACCCAGACGGCUACACGGAGGCCACCAAGGAACUUGUCGCCGUCCUCCUCGAGCUCCUCACCAAGGACGUGGAGGUGAGGGCGCUCUACCAUCUGACGCUGAUCGAGCAGGCCGCGCGGACGUCGCCGGCGCAGCUCACAUGGCCAAAACCUACGGGGCCUGUCGUGUUCAGGAACCCCGCUAGGGACGCCUUGUCCUGCUUGGACCAUUCCAUGUUCGUGCAGAGGAGCCUCAUCGAGGGGUCGGCCUACUUAUACAUCCCCGACGACAUCCUUCUCAUCAAGUGCGACAUCACUGUUGUCAAGCUGAAGGAGGCGCAGAUGCGGAAGAUCGGCAUGAGCUUUAACAUCCAAGUGCCGCCUUCGGACUUGCUGCAAAAUCUUAGAAGUUUGCUCGAUGCGAGGGAGGAAUCGGAUGUGUCUUUCAAGGUCAAAGAUGAGGUUUUCACCGCCCAUAAGAUCAUCCUCGCAAUGCGGUCGCCGGUCUUCAGGGCGGAGCUCUACGGGCCGAUGAAGGACAAGUGCGGGCAGGGGCAGAGCAUAGCCAUUGAAGACAUGGAGCCCGCUGUCUUCAAAGCGCUGCUCCACUUCAUCUACACGGAUGAGCUGCCUCCCAUGGACGACCUCCAUGACGAUGACGAUGAAGAAGAGAUGGUCAGGCAUUUGCUCGUGGCUGCGGACAGGUAUGUCAUGGAAAGGAUGAAGUUGAUGUGUGAGAGAAAGCUUUCCGAGUUUCUUGAUGCCAAGACUGUGGCGGCCACGUUAGCUCUUGCGGACCAGCAUCAUUGCGGCAAGCUCAAAGAUGCUUGCAUUGGGUUUAUCAACUCUUUGGAUAGAAUGGAUGAUGUGAUGGAUAGUGUAGGGUAUGAGCACCUGAAAAGAGCAUGCCCUGCUAUCUUUAUUGAUAUAUGGGAGAAAGCUGCCAAGGCUCGCAAAAUGUAGCUUGAUCACCGCGGUUUAGCAUUAUUAUAGUUACUUCAGUAUUCCUUAAUAAUUAUAAUUGCUGCGGAGUGCCAAAUAAAGCGUCUUUUCUUGUCUCCAAGGAAUGCUGGAAACAAUUGAGUUUAAAUUUUAAACUGAAUCUGCUAUAUUUACUGAAGUUCGGGGAGACUGUCAAAGGAUUGGUUGAUCAUAGGGAUCAUUGUUGUUGUGCCUUUGUUUGGAUUUCUUGUGAUCGUUUUGUUCUCCCGCGGGGUUCUCUAUAUGCUGCGACGUCCGGUUUUUUGCUUCUUGUUUCCCAGGUCUGCCGUUGGGUGCACAGUAAUUUGUUCAGCUUUAGCAUACUUACAAUUAAUGUUGAGGCUGUAACAAUCUGACUUUAGUUUUUUUAUUAUUUAAGUUAUCAGAGAUCUUUUGGAUAAGAGCAAGUUUCGACAUCUAUGUCUAGGGCCAUAAAGGAUCACUAGCUCUUUUGACCAACAGUUUUACUGUACACUUCCUAUUAUGCUUCUUCAAAGCAGUGGUUGGCUAACUACCAAGGCCACAUCGAUGUGAAAUGUGAUGAGUCGUUAGAAAAUAACAUUCCUAUAGAAAGUUAUUCAGUAAAGUCAUUAACCAGUGCCGAAUUUUAUACUCCCUCCGUUCCUAAAUAUAAGUCUUUUCAGAGAUUUCAUUAAGGGACUACAUACGGAGAAAAAUAAGUGAAUAUGCAUUCUAAAGUAUGUCUAUAUACAUCCGGAUGUAGUCUCUUAGUGAAACCUUUAAAAAGACUUAUAUUUAGGAUUGGAGGGAGUAUUUUAUAGUAGGCACCCUGUAGUAACGCUGACAGAGAUCUCUUCGCUUCGUUCACGACUGUGACCAUUGGUGAUGGCGGAAAAAGCAAAAUUCUCGGAUUCGUCAUGGCUUAAUAAUGGUCUCUGUCCAAAGAUGUCACGCCCAAGAUCUUUUAGAUAUCUAAAAGAAAGGUGUGUUUGGUUAGCAAGGCGCUUCAUAACAACUUCUAGAUUAGACAGACCGACACUACUGAGAGCCUCUCUUUGGCCCAUAUCCAGGCGUUCGCCACUCGUUGGGGGACGGUAUAAGAUGUUACUCUAAGCUUGGACAGGAUGGACACAAUACAUUGAAAAUUCACUUUUAGUAAGGAAUAUUCGGCGGCCACCGCUUACAUGACACAGUUUGCAGAACAAAUUCUCAGCCCCACCUCUACCACGAUCCGGAAGACUUGGACUCAUGCGAAAUGCAAUUCUUUUUGCUUGGUUGAUCAUUCAAAAUCGUGUGUGGACAGCCGAUCGGUUACAACGGCGAGGAUGGCCAAAUUACGGUCUAUGCCACCUUUGCAAACAGGUUCAAGAGUCAGCUCCUCACCUUCUCAUCUAGUGUAGAUUCACCGUUCGAGUAUGGAAUGAGAUCAUCGCUUGGCUUGGCAUUCUUGGCCAAUCUCCGGCGGCUUGGCGCCACGAGGCCUCCGUUCAUGAUUGGUGGCUCAAAAUGAUCAACUCUGGAGGCCACAUAAAGAAGGCGACUAUCUCUGUUAUGAUGCUUAACUCGUGGGAAAUUUGAAACGAACGAAACGUGAGAGUCUUUCGCAACACGGCCACCCCGACCAUUGUCAUCGUUGCCAAAAUCAAAGAGGAGGCCCAGCUUUGGGCGCUGGCUGGAGCUAGUCAUCUAAGUACUCUUAUGUCAUGAGAGUAGUCUUUUUCCUUUGUUUUUGCUGCGUGGCGGCUUAUGUCUAAACCUUCUCCUUAAUGAACGAAAGGACAAUGUUUACUUUAAUGAACGAAAUAAAGUACAAUUAAAGUCAUUUACCUUGUUCAAAGAAAUAAAUUUAAGUAAGUGAUUUGCAGGACCUGUAUCUUGUUCACAUCAUCAUUUCAAUGUACAUAUUUACUUUAAUUGUACUUUAUUUCAGAUGUUUACUUUUAACUCAAAGCAAGUAUUGGCAUUUCAUUUUAUAAAAAGAGGCCUAUUGAACAUAUAACUGCGGAGAUACUGUAAAACUGUUCUUUGCUUUUGCUUACCAUGUCAUCUUUUCUAUUCUACAAUUCCACGUUUUUGUUGCACUCUUGUGAAAGGAUAGUAUUUCAGUUGAUAAGCUGUUGAAUAGCUAUCACUUGAGUUUGUUGAGCUGUUGUGAUCUCGUCUGAGACCUGUCUUCAGGCUUCAGUGAUGACACCUCAUCUGAACCAGCACUGAACCUGCAUGUUGUUGUAGCAAGAUGCUUAGUUUUUCAACUGUUUAAAGGCGGCAAGCCAACUGAUGUUUACUAGUACGUCUAUUUCAUAUUAGUUGUCGUUGAUUUAGUACUCCUACAAUAUAUGCUAUUUGGAGUCCAUUUUCCGUUCCUGCAAAAGGCCCUCCACGUUUAUGCGCGGUGCCUUGGUUUUAACCAUGAGAUUAAAUUACAACCUGAAGAUAACAUUUUCACGAUGUAUGUAAUCCAUACAAUUUUUGUUUCUGUAGAAAAGACGUAAUUUUUGUUUCUGUCACCCGACUGCUCACCAACCUGCUGCUCAUUUAUCUGUUGCCGCUCCUCCUCUUCAGAGUUCAGACCCGAUCUUCUUCCGUUUGCUCGAGGACGAAGAAUGCCCCAACCUUGUCACCAACCUGCUGCUCAUUCAUCUGUUGCCGCUCCUCCUCUUCAGAGUUCAGACCCGAUCCUCUCCCGUUUGCUCGAGGACGAAGAAUGCCCCAANNNNNNNNNNNNNNNNNNNNNNNNNNNNNNNNNNNNNNNNNNNNNNNNNNNNNNNNNNNNNNNNNNNNNNNNNNNNNNNNNNNNNNNNNNNNNNNNNNNNNNNNNNNNNNNNNNNNNNNNNNNNNNNNNNNNNNNNNNNNNNNNNNNNNNNNNNNNNNNNNNNNNNNNNNNNNNNNNNNNNNNNNNNNNNNNNNNNNNNNNNNNNNNNNNNNNNNNNNNNNNNNCGUUUGAAAUUCAGGUAGCAAACCGACCCCGGAUCAACAGCAAGAGAGCGGGCUCUUUCCUUGCUUUUAGUGAACAGCAGAGGCACGGCGAGCUACCACCAUGAUCAAACGCUGUCAUGUACUUGUCCCAAUCAGUGGGCAUAUUAGCAGGGCCAGGAUGCGACCUGGCAUGCAACCCCCUGAUCGUGCGAAUUGCGAUGCAAUGCCAGAAAAGAGAAGAGCACGGACAGAGCAAAUGAAGCAGGGACCAUUGAUUCAGUCGGUGGGGCUGGCCUAAACAUAUCGCCACUACAGUGGCGACUUGUUCAGCACCGGGUGUGGUGACACUGUACACACCACACGGCCACACACGCGUGUGUACUCCGUGCUGGUGUUUAGUGAAAUCCAUCUUGCCGCGUGAGAAAGGGGGGCUUGAUGGAGGACAGGAAUUUUACAGAGCAAUUCUAACCGGCCUACAAAGUGUCCGUUUGAAUCGUGACCAAUAUAAAAAUCGGUCCAACGUGCCGACAUGAACUCGCGUUUAUUAUUAUCUGUUAUGCGGUCAAUUUGCAUCUCAAAUUUAGACAUGAAAUGCAUCGGCACGGACACGCGCCUCGUCUGCCUACUCUUNNNNNNNNNNNNNNNNNNNNNNNNNNNNNNNNNNNNNNNNNNNNNNNNNNNNNNNNNNNNNNNNNNNNNNNNNNNNNNNNNNNNNNNNNNNNNNNNNNNNNNNNNNNNNNNNNNNNNNNNNNNNNNNNNNNNNNNNNNNNNNNNNNNNNNNNNNNNNNNNNNUGUCUUAUCCGUCGCGGACACAGAACCCCCUCUUCUAUCCCUUCUCCCGCCCGCCGCCCGCCCGUGCACAAACCCAACGCCAUAGCCCGUUUUUUCUGUCCACCACGGUCUCCAGCCCUCUCCCCUCCUCCCACCACAACAACCAGCUUGGUGCCUUCCUCGACCCAGUGCGGGAGGCCAAGUGGUAGAUCUGCAGCAGUGGGAUCUGGUGCAUCCUGUCGAUUGGAUUUGUCGAAUCCGGCUGCCCGCGAUUGCGUCUUGCCAUGGAGUGGUCGGGUGCCAAUCCAUCUAGCCCCUGCAUUUCCUCAAUGUCGCAUGCAGGUGUUCAGUCCGCCUCUAGCCGCUCGGAUCUAUCCCGUCGUCGAUUCUUCAGCAAAGCCACAGUUGGCCAUCUCCCUGGCUCGGCGCUAGCCCAUAGGCUUGUCGGCUCACUGUUGCCGCACAUAAAGUGCAAUGACUGUCUAUGGAAGAUCGUGUGUCGCGUCUCCACGACGUCGGAACAUCCCAAAUGAUGGGGUACAUGCUUCUCUUGGUUCUGUUUUUUCGACGAAAUGUCGAUACCUUAUUUGCUCAAAUCUGUGUGUAGGAGGGAUGCAAGUUUGGAUACUGGAAAGAAGAUUACAUCGAUCUUUUCAUCGAACAGAAUUUGCUAGAUGUCUAUGUAGUUCUAGCUAGAAUUGAAGUUAUAGAUGAGACUAAUGAUGAAGACGUAGAGAAGAUAUUAGUCCAACUAAUGGGAGCAGUUAUGGAACUUGACUUUUUUUUUAAAUGUUCAAUCAUGGUGCUUAUUUUCUUUGAUCUUGUUCUCAGAUAUAGCGAAGAAUACGUAAAUCCAUGUAUCAAAAUUCUUUGAUGGAAUAAAAAAAAUAGUCUUUCAUUGUCAAUCAAAAAUAUUUGUACACAAGAGAAAAUGGACCUAGGCGGGCAGUUAGGAGAAAAUGCGUUCGCGCAUUCAACACAUGACCGAACCAAACGCAAAAGGCGACGGACGAGCCAGCCCAAAUGAACAAAAAACGAACAAAGUGCAUGUCUGUUUGGCAGAUGCUUUGGAGUUGCUGUUACAACACAUGGUUCAUUUGGGGGGCAAGAUGAAAAUGUCACGGGGCAUGUGUAAACCGCUUGAAUGAAUUGAUCCAGUCCAUUCCCUAGAUCUAAUGACGUCUCUAAAGAUUUUUUAGGUGUGGUUGAAUUGAUGACUUAACUAUUAAGAUCAAUAACUAUUUUUUUUAGAUCCCAUGCUACAGUCGACUGUUAAUCUACAAUCCGCUUCCCUUCUCUCUCCUCUUCUCUCUCAUCCAGCUGAGCAAAAAAUACAAUAGUUAAUCCUUACACCCUGCCGACUGUAUCUUAUUAUACUUGAUCUCACUGAUCGAGUUGAGGGCCUCCGCAGUUCCCGUCGCCGAUACAAAGACAUCCGCAAGCGCUCUUACGACAGCUAAAGCAAAGCCUGGUAAUGCUGAGACAGAUCCCUUUGGGGUGGUGUUGGUUCCCUCCAAGAUGGAGGCGGCUCCCUCUUGGGAGGCGAGUCUCUGCGAUAGUUGCGUCCAACAUCACGCCCGCCGUAACCUUUUCCUCCUCGGUUUGCCCUAAACCCAUGACGUGGGUGGUGAAAUGGUUCCACUAGCCAUCGGACGGACCGACGUAACCCCAUCCUCCACCUCCACCGAGUUGCCUCUGAUCACCAUAUCCAUGGCCUCCUCCGUUCGAGGAUGAACCCCGGUAGCGAUCGUCUCGGUAUGCGUCGUAGCCGUUGUUAGGAACCCAGUGCCUCUAGCCUUGGAUCGUCGUGAUUAUUUCCCUUUAUAUUCGGUUCAUUUCUCAAUGUAGUGAGUCGAUGGCUACUAGGACUGAAUGAUUGUUGUGGAAUGAGUGAAUCGUCAGAAAGUAGAAAUUGUAAGAAAAUAAUAAUCCAUGCAGAUUUUUUAUAUUAUGUAUUUCCUUCGUUUUGAAAUAAGUGUCUUAAGCUUAAUACAACUUUAUACCAAAGCUAGUGUAAAAUUGAGAUAAUUAUUUUGAUACGGAGGAAGUAGGUGCUUAUUAAUGUUAAUUUCCCCUAAUUUAUGAGUGAGGCGUUUUGGUUCCCAGAUUCAUAUGCACCCAUGCUCAAUACAAAAAUCAAAAUAAAUAUCAGAAAAUUUUUAAAAAUUCAUUUUUUUUUGUCAUAGUAGAGAAUUUGAUGUGUGAUAUUCGUUCCAAUUUUCAAAUUAUUUAAACAUUCUAGCAGCUCUCGACAAAAACGAUAAAUUUGGAUCUUUUAAAAAUAUACUGUUCAUGUACAGUUGGAAUCCUAAUUUAUAUUUUGUGUUGAGAGCUACUCAGACGUCCGAAUGGUCUGAAAUUUGUAGCGCGUCUUACGCAUCAAAUUAUCUACCAUUCUACCUUGCGCAGAAAAAUUAGAUUUUUUUGAUUUUUUUGAUUUUUUUUUCUUAUCGGAUGUAGAUCUAUCCGAGUUGAGAAUUGGAUAUUCGCUAAUUUAACACUAUUCCCGUUGGGCACUAGUAGCUUUUGUAGAUGGCUCCACUUGCGCACCACACGGAAACCCAGAGAGACAGAGGCGUCCACUACCACCUCCUCCUCCAAGCACACACCCGCGCCGUGCUGCUGUCUUGCCUCCUACGCCUUGACUUUACCCUCCCUCCCCAGUCCUCACCCCACUGACACCACGGUCCCNNNNNNNNNNNNNNNNNNNNNNNNNNNNNNNNNNNNNNNNNNNNNNNNNNNNNNNNNNNNNNNNNNNNNNNNNNNNNNNNNNNNNNNNNNNNNNNNNNNNNNNNNNNNNNNNNNNNNNNNNNNNNNNNNNNNNNNNNNNNNNNNNNNNNNNNNNNNNNNNNNNNNNNNNNNNNNNNNNNNNNNNNNNNNNNNNNNNNNNNNNNNNNNNNNNNNNNNNNNNNNNNNNNAUCCACGUCGUCGUCGUCGAUAGCAAGCCAGCCCGGACGCGCCACCCCGUCCAUAUCGCUGUAGCCCCACCGGUAAGCGGGUCGUCUGGAGUCACGUCGGUCGUCGGACGUGGCGGCCCGCGCGGCGCGUCCCGUCCCGUAGCUGCUGCAGCAGCAGAGAGGGGGUGGGGCCGGGUGCCAUUCCGCGGUAUAAUUCCGGCCAUUUAAAAGGCACGCCGUGGCGUUGGUUGGCAUCCCUCCGUUCCACAACACGCAGCAAGCCCACCUUCCCACCCAUCCCCCUCCCUCCCUCUCUCUCUCGUCCACGCCUCCGCAUCGGUCGUUCCCCUUCCUCGCUCUGCCACCCACUCACCGGGCGCCAUGACGGAGGAGGCCGACGGUUGCGCCGCGGUGGUGGUGGCAGAGGCGGCGGGCAUCAUCUGCUCGCUCCGUGCGGCGGACCUGGCCGGGUGGACGCCGCCAUGGAAGACGAGCGGGCAGCCGUCCUCCGAAGCCACGGCGAGGAAAGAGGAGACGGCCACCUGGCCGUCGGUGGCGCGGGGGAAGCGGACGCGGUCGUCGCGCUCAGGAUCCGCGGCAAACAAGGGGAGGAGGUGGGCACGCGGCAGCCCCGCGUCUCCGCUCGACUACAGCGGCGGGUCCGGGUCCGGCUCCGGCGCGUCCACCAGCGGCGGGGAGGACGGCGC